AAUAGAUACCCCGGUAGUCCACGCCGUAAACGGUGGGUACUAGGUGUGGGUUUCCUUCCUUGGGAUCCGUGCCGUAGCUAACGCAUUAAGUACCCCGCCUGGGGAGUACGGCCGCAAGGCUAAAACUCAAAGGAAUUGACGGGGGGCCCGCACAAGCGGCGGAGCAUGUGGAUUAAUUCGAUGCAACGCGAAGAACCUUACCUGGGUUUGACAUGCACAGGACGCUGGUAGAGAUAUCAGUUCCCUUGUGGUCUGUGUGCAGGUGGUGCACGGCUGUCGUCAGCUCGUGUCGUGAGAUGUUGGGUUAAGUCCCGCAACGAGCGCAACCCUUGUCUUAUGUUGCCAGCACGUGAUGGUGGGGACUCGUGAGAGACUGCCGGGGUCAACUCGGAGGAAGGUGGGGAUGACGUCAAGUCAUCAUGCCCCUUAUGUCCAGGGCUUCACACAUGCUACAAUGGCCGGUACAAAGGGCUGCGAUGCCGUGAGGUUAAGCGAAUCCUUUAAAGCCGGUCUCAGUUCGGAUCGGGGUCUGCAACUCCG
RNAcentral lists this ribosomal RNA (540 nucleotides) under uncultured bacterium. RNAcentral's name for it is "bacterial SSU rRNA". It matches the Rfam family "Bacterial small subunit ribosomal RNA", at positions 777 to 1314 of the family's 1533-position model. The record is from RNAcentral.